This 776-nucleotide ribosomal RNA is filed under the name uncultured Neocallimastigales. RNAcentral describes it as "partial large subunit ribosomal RNA". It matches the Rfam family "Eukaryotic large subunit ribosomal RNA", at positions 20 to 614 of the family's 3401-position model. Lineage: Eukaryota; Fungi; Neocallimastigomycota; Neocallimastigomycetes; Neocallimastigales. The record is from RNAcentral.
UACUAGAGUAGCACUCGCAUAUCAAUAAGCGGAGGAAAAGAAACUAACAAGGAUUCCCCUAGUAACGGCGAGUGAAGCGGGAAGAGCUCAAAUUUGAAAUCUUAAAGGGUUUCCCUUUACGAAUUGUAGUUUAAAGAAGUGUUUUCUGUUGAGGUUUUGGUAAAAGUUCUUUGGAAUAGGACAUCAUAGAGGGUGAGAAUCCCGUAUUUGACCUUUACUUUCAACUUUGUGAUACACUUUCAAAGAGUCGGAUUGUUUGGGAAUGCAGUCCAAAAUGGGUGGUAAAUUUCAUCUAAAGCUAAAUAUUGGCGAGAGACCGAUAGCGAACAAGUACCGUGAGGGAAAGAUGAAAAGAACUUUGAAAAGAGAGUUAAACAGUACGUGAAAUUGUCAAAAGGGAAGCGUUUGACACCAGUGUUGUUUUUCUGAAAAUCAAUUAAAGAACUGUUUAUGCUAAGCUUGUUUAGACUUUAUCAGCUAACUGUUUAGUUUUGAGCUUUUCUUUAAUGCACUUUUCAGUUAACAAGUCAACAUCAAUUUCUUUUGCUGUAAAAAAGCUUGAGGAAGGUGGCAUGAGAUUCGUCUUAAGUGCUUAUAGCCUCUUGCCUAUGCAGUCCGGAGAGAUUGAGGUCUGCAGCGUAGAUCCUUCGGGGCUAAAUGCAUUUGUGCUAAGUUAUAACAUUUUAUAGACAACUUGUUGACUAUGAUUUGUCUUGUAGCUUACUCGCUUAUGUUAUUUUACCUACGCUUAGGAUGUUGAGUCAUCACACAUCUCU